CCGGGUGGCAGCAGGGAGGAAUAGUGGUCAAGGGACGCAAGGCUGAAACAGCCAGGCCGCGUGAAGGAAGACGGCUAUAUGAGUUGUAAACUGCUUUUGUACGAGGGUAAAUCCCGAUACGUGUAUCGGGUUGAAAGUAUCGUACGAAUAAGGAUCGGCUAACUCCGUGCCAGCAGCCGCGGUAAUACGGAGGAUUCAAGCGUUAUCCGGAUUUAUUGGGUUUAAAGGGUGCGUAGGCGGUUCGAUAAGUUAGAGGUGAAAUCCCGGGGACCAACUCCGGGACCUCCUCUGAGUCUUUCGGGGCAGAGGUUAGUUGCGGUAGGCGGAAUGUAUGGUGUAGCGGUGAAAUGCAUAGAGAUCAUACAGAACACCGAUUGCGAAGGCAGCUUACCAAACUACGACUGACGUUGAGGCACGAAAGCGUGGGGAGCAAACAGGAUUAGAUACCCCUGUAGUC
RNAcentral lists this ribosomal RNA (457 nucleotides) under uncultured bacterium. RNAcentral describes it as "partial 16S ribosomal RNA". It matches the Rfam family "Bacterial small subunit ribosomal RNA", at positions 341 to 795 of the family's 1533-position model. The record is from RNAcentral.